This 433-nucleotide ribosomal RNA is filed under the name uncultured bacterium. Its description in RNAcentral is "partial 16S ribosomal RNA". It matches the Rfam family "Bacterial small subunit ribosomal RNA", at positions 29 to 507 of the family's 1533-position model. The record is from RNAcentral.
AGCGAACGCUGGCGGCAGGCCUAACACAUGCAAGUCGAACGGAUCCUUCGGGAUUAGUGGCGGACGGGUGAGUAACACGUGGGAACGUGCCCUUUGGUUCGGAACAACUCAGGGAAACUUGAGCUAAUACCGGAUGUGCCCUUCGGGGGAAAGAUUUAUCGCCAUUGGAGCGGCCCGCGUCUGAUUAGCUAGUUGGUGAGGUAACGGCCCACCAAGGCGACGAUCAGUAGCUGGUCUGAGAGGAUGAUCAGCCACACUGGGACUGAGACACGGCCCAGACUCCUACGGGAGGCAGCAGUGGGGAAUCUUGCGCAAUGGGCGAAAGCCUGACGCAGCCAUGCCGCGUGAAUGAUGAAGGUCUUAGGAUUGUAAAAUUCUUUCAGCGGGGACGAUGAUGACGGUACCCGCAGAAGAAGCUCCGGCUAACUUCGUG